RNAcentral lists this ribosomal RNA (468 nucleotides) under uncultured bacterium. RNAcentral's name for it is "partial 16S ribosomal RNA". It matches the Rfam family "Bacterial small subunit ribosomal RNA", at positions 28 to 507 of the family's 1533-position model. The record is from RNAcentral.
GACGAACGCUGGCGGCGUGCUUAACACAUGCAAGUCGAACGGAAAGGCCCUGCUUUUGUGGGGUGCUCGAGUGGCGAACGGGUGAGUAACACGAGAGUAACCUGCCCUUGACUUUGGGAUAACUUCAGGAAACUGGGGCUAAUACCGGAUAGGAGCUCCUGCUGCAUGGUGGGGGUUGGAAAGUUUCGGCGGUUGGGGAUGGACUCGCGGCUUAUCAGCUUGUUGGUGUGGUAGUGGCUUACCAAGGCUUUGACGGGUAGCCGGCCUGAGAGGGUGACCGGCCACAUUGGGACUGAGAUACGGCCCAGACUCCUACGGGAGGCAGCAGUGGGGAAUAUUGCACAAUGGGCGGAAGCCUGAUGCAGCAACGCCGCGUGCGGGAUGACGGCCUUCGGGUUGUAAACCGCUUUCGCCUGUGACGAAGCGUGAGUGACGGUAAUGGGUAAAGAAGCACCGGCUAACUACGUG